This 26-nucleotide unclassified non-coding RNA is filed under the name Acacia aphanoclada. RNAcentral's name for it is "partial small subunit rRNA". The record is from RNAcentral. Lineage: Eukaryota; Viridiplantae; Streptophyta; Magnoliopsida; Fabales; Fabaceae.
UCCAAACACCACUCACACGACGGUGA